UGAAUCUUGGAGGAUGGAGACACACUGAGGGCAGCAACGGUAAAAACAAACUAAACUAGGGUCAUCCAGAGGACUGAUUCUUGCAGUUAUUUCAACUUGUUUGACUGGUUCAGGCAUGCUGUUUGCAGAUUCUAAGCCAUGAACUGCUUCACCAUUACUUGAGUCGGCUGACUUUUUGGGAUCUUCUUGUGAGAUAGAAUUUGAUUCCCCAGAUCCAACGUGAUUGUUUUCGGAAUUAUCUUUUUCUUGCAAACAAGUGACUGUUGCUGUUGUUUGGGUUUCAUUCUGUUCAUGGUCGGCUGCAGGAGAGUUAAGAUCAAGGAGAACAGUCUGAUGCAAGGAAACUACUCCUGAAUCCUCAAUCAACAUUGCAGAAUUCGAAGUAUCAUCACCAUUCUCUUUGAUCAAAACUAAGCCGUCUGUAAUCUCCACAACUGGCUGAUGAUUGUCGGUAAGAUCCGUAGAUGCUCUAGGGUCUGGACAAUUGAUGUUUUGUGUAUCUUCUUUCAGGUCUCCUUUUGAUCGAUCAGAUGUUCCUUGCUCAGUUGGCUCAUCCCUCACUGUCGCAUCAGCUACAGAACACGACAAUGGAUUCAUCGACUCUGUUUGAGCAUUUGAUUCAAAACUGUAAACAGUGAAAUUGUGUUAGAUAUACAGCAAGCUUUAGAAACAAACAUACAUAAAAACAAAGUAUAUCAAGGCGUACCUUCGCAUUGCAUAAACCCAACUGUUAACCAGAUCUUCCAGAUAAGCAACUUGAGACAAAAUUCUGAUAUAUUGACAUCUGUCCUUUCCAGCAUCGAUUUUCAUAUUGAUCCGCCCAACUAAGAGCUCGAGAACUUUCCUUACUUCAAAAGAGACUUCCCUCAGUGAUGUAUAGGUUCCUCUAUACGCAGAUAAUCCAACAGCAACGAGGCCCCUGGCAGUGCCAGAUAAAUCUUUGCCUCUAACAUUGUUGGAACCGGAAGCAGUAGUACUCUGCUCUGAUGGAUUAUGAGGACGAAUGAUACACGAAUUAAACGGCCAUCCUCUCCAAGGACCCGAAACAUCUGCGCUUGGCCCUUCCUUAAGCUUUGAUGUCACGCUACCAAGUCUCAAUUCGCGAGUAACUAAUUUACGCAUUGAAUCUUGGAGGAUGGAGACACACUGAGGGCAGCAACGGUAAAAACAAACUAAACUAGGGUCAUCCAGAGGACUGAUUCUUGCAGUUAUUUCAACUUGUUUGACUGGUUCAGGCAUGCUGUUUGCAGAUUCUAAGCCAUGAACUGCUUCACCAUUACUUGAGUCGGCUGACUUUUUGGGAUCUUCUUGUGAGAUAGAAUUUGAUUCCCCAGAUCCAACGUGAUUGUUUUCGGAAUUAUCUUUUUCUUGCAAACAAGUGACUGUUGCUGUUGUUUGGGUUUCAUUCUGUUCAUGGUCGGCUGCAGGAGAGUUAAGAUCAAGGAGAACAGUCUGAUGCAAGGAAACUACUCCUGAAUCCUCAAUCAACAUUGCAGAAUUCGAAGUAUCAUCACCAUUCUCUUUGAUCAAAACUAAGCCGUCUGUAAUCUCCACAACUGGCUGAUGAUUGUCGGUAAGAUCCGUAGAUGCUCUAGGGUCUGGACAAUUGAUGUUUUGUGUAUCUUCUUUCAGGUCUCCUUUUGAUCGAUCAGAUGUUCCUUGCUCAGUUGGCUCAUCCCUCACUGUCGCAUCAGCUACAGAACACGACAAUGGAUUCAUCGACUCUGUUUGAGCAUUUGAUUCAAAACUGUAAACAGUGAAAUUGUGUUAGAUAUACAGCAAGCUUUAGAAACAAACAUACAUAAAAACAAAGUAUAUCAAGGCGUACCUUCGCAUUGCAUAAACCCAACUGUUAACCAGAUCUUCCAGAUAAGCAACUUGAGACAAAAUUCUGAUAUAUUGACAUCUGUCCUUUCCAGCAUCGAUUUUCAUAUUGAUCCGCCCAACUAAGAGCUCGAGAACUUUCCUUACUUCAAAAGAGACUUCCCUCAGUGAUGUAUAGGUUCCUCUAUACGCAGAUAAUCCAACAGCAACGAGGCCCCUGGCAGUGCCAGAUAAAUCUUUGCCUCUAACAUUGUUGGAACCGGAAGCAGUAGUACUCUGCUCUGAUGGAUUAUGAGGACGAAUGAUACACGAAUUAAACGGCCAUCCUCUCCAAGGACCCGAAACAUCUGCGCUUGGCCCUUCCUUAAGCUUUGAUGUCACCCAACAAAGCUCAGCAAAUUGAGGAUACCGUAGAAUUUGAUAACCAAAUGUAGAGACGGCUAACUCCAAGCUUGAUUUCGGUUUCGCAGUAAUGCUGAUAGGUAUCGGUGGCACUUUCAAAGAACAAUCCUCAGGAGGUUUUGAUUUGAUACCUACUUCUUCCCCUGCAACAUGAUCAGUAUUAUUCUGAUAAGCUGGAUCUCUGCAAUCCUGGUCAGGAUCCUCUCUUUCGUAUGUCUUCGGUACGUCAUAGUGUGUAUGGGUUCCCUGAUGCACCAAAUGAAGAAACACUUGGAUUGCCCGCCUUGACAACUCAGUAGCAGACAAGUCAAUGGCCAUGUCUUGGUCAGAACUUUCAGCAAUUUGUACAGUGAAUUGUGGAACAGCCUCUGACUUAGUUGGCUGAUACUCCUUUGAUAGGUCGGUCUUAAAGAACUGUUGUAUCUUAGGAGGCAGGAGUUUGUAGGGCAUGCCAGAAGUAGCCUAUCACCAAAAAGGAAAAAAAGGAUUUAGUCUCACGUGUUGAUACUCUUCUCAGAGACUUCUAAUCAACAAAGUAGGGAGCACAGAGAUUUGAAAAAGAAGAGUACACGAAACUAAGGCUUAUAUUCACAAAAUACAAGAAAAAAAGCUAUCCGAAAGUACACUAAACAAGCAUAUACGAGAGGUAUUGGAGAAACAAAUUAAGUAAGAAGUUAAGCAUACCAGAAUUAUCAUCUUUGUGGAAACUCGCAAUGAUUCUACUUGCUCAAGAAAUGUGUUCCAAGCAUGUGAAACUCGAGAAGAAUACUGCAACUCCAUUUUCUCCACUGUUUCUGGACGAACGGGAGAAGAAUUUUCUUUUAAAGAAUCAUCAUCACACUCGACCUCCUCAUUCAGUGGAGUUUCUGUCUCUACAGCCCACAAGUCAAUCCUUGGCAUGAAUACCACACAUGAUUUCCUGCUAGAACAUUUCACUACAGGUCGGACAGAUUUACCAGUUAGUAAUCUGGAGAUGGACUAGAACCAAGCAAAUCAACGAAAGACUAAAAGAAAAAAAGUAUGUAGCUGCUUAAAUAUCAUUAUCAGGUACGUAAUGAAAUGUUAAUAACAGACGUACUUAAUAAGUGAGUUACGCCUAGCACCAGAUCCCCAUUUCCUUCUUGUGAAAUUGUCGCCGUGUCUAUCUUCUGCAUCUCCGCAUUUCCAAUAAAACAAUGCAAGAUGCAAGAAGCAAGAUGACGUUGACCAGAUCUAGGUCCUCCAGCAAUAAGCAGUUGGAACCCAGACUUGUUCAUUGAUUCUGAAGGAGCAUUCCCCAACCCAGGAUGUCGGCGGACUCUGUGUACCAUGAACUGCGCAGAACCCAAACUACAGUCGCCUGCACCAGGGGAGCUUGGAACAGAUCUAACCGAGUCACAUCCUCCAUCUAGUAUCCCAGCAUAAGAAAGUCUCUGAACUAUAUCUUUUACAACAUCUACGUCCUGGAGAAGGCUAUCAACAUGAGACCACCAGCAAUCAUCAUUUAUCUUCUUGUCGCCCAAAGCAGAACAGAUCACAUUUUUGAAAUCAACCGCAGCUUUGGAAAGUAGAGGCGGCAGCACGAUGCGCUCUUCAAGAUGAAAAGCAACGAGUAAAGAACACAGUGAUGGUAACAAAGAAGGCACCAAGUAAACAGGAAGAGGAGAAGAAUUUAAGAUCAAGGAGAACAGUCUGAUGCAAGGAAACUACUCCUGAAUCCUCAAUCAACAUUGCAGAAUUCGAAGUAUCAUCACCAUUCUCUUUGAUCAAAACUAAGCCGUCUGUAAUCUCCACAACUGGCUGAUGAUUGUCGGUAAGAUCCGUAGAUGCUCUAGGGUCUGGACAAUUGAUGUUUUGUGUAUCUUCUUUCAGGUCUCCUUUUGAUCGAUCAGAUGUUCCUUGCUCAGUUGGCUCAUCCCUCACUGUCGCAUCAGCUACGGAACACGACAAUGGAUUCAUCGACUCUGUUUGAGCAUUUGAUUCAAAACU
This 4194-nucleotide long non-coding RNA is filed under the name Brassica napus (rape). RNAcentral's name for it is "long non-coding RNA (BNAP_LNC013503)". Lineage: Eukaryota; Viridiplantae; Streptophyta; Magnoliopsida; Brassicales; Brassicaceae. The record is from RNAcentral.